GUUGCUUCGUCAACCCGGUACGGGGCCACUCGACAGCUGGCCGCCAACCCGGACGACCGGCUCGGCGUCGGGCCGGUGAACCCGCUUUCUUAGUGGGUAGGAGGUCUUGGAAGGCUCCGGUGCGCGGGCCGCGCGCUAGAUCUUGGAAGGUGUCGGAAGGGCUGCGGAGGGCUGCGCGCGCGUGACAUGCCUGCCCAUAAAUCGUGACGCCGGCGGUGAGGUGGGGCGGCGGGCUGCUUUAAGUGGGUGGCAGAGGGAGUAAAGAAAUGGGUGGGCGGGUGGUAAAGAAAUGGCGUGCUGUUUCUAGAUAGGGCGGCGGAAGCUAAGGUGGGCUCUAUAGGGCGCUAAGGUGGGCUCGAAGUCGCCCUCGUCUCAACCGCCCCCAGUACCUCCGCCGCCACCGCCCCCCGCAACACUUCCUCCUCCUCGACGACGACGUGCUCCUCGUCGGCGGCCGCCCCGGCGUCGUCGUCCUGCCCCGCGACGGCGCCGGCUACCUCCCCGACGUGCUCCGGCCCGGCGGCGGCAAGGAGUGGUUCUGCAUGCUGGACCACCUCCUGGGCCGGUGCCUGGUCCAGCACAGUACCCCGGCGCGGCCGUUGUGGAAGCAGCAGACCCUGGGCGUGCAGAAGCGGCUCCGUGACGAGGGCGCGGAGAAGUUCGUGAGGUUGAAGAGGUCGAAGCAGGCGGUCGAGUUGUGGAUAGAUGAUCUACCUUGUUCUAUGACCUACUUCAUGUCCUUGGUCUAACAAAACAAGAUCUUCUGAGAUGACUACUACAUCACAUGACUACUAGUUCGAUAUUAGAUCUUCAAUGUCGUAUCGGUACAACGGAACACUGACAACACUCAAGACAGGUACCGGAUUGGCACCAGCAAUGAAUGGAGAACGUUAGACGUCCCUAAGUCUUUCCAACUAGGACUGUCUACCCUCAAACGUUUACUUCCAAAGGAAUCCCCAGUCUCCGUAGAAGAGUUCUACUAGUUCUCUUCCUUCGGCGGUAGGUUGCGCGGGAGUAGCGUCGUCGUCCGGGAGUGUAGAACGGACCUCCAACCGCUCAAACCUAAACUCCUUCUCUAACUGUCCGAGUUCGCGCUGUUCUUGGAGAACUAGUGUCUCCAUCACUUCGAUUCCGUCCUCGUCGUUCGAUGAUUCCUAUUGCACGUUCGGUACCUUCCGUCCGAUGCUCGACGACUUGUCUCUGUCCGGGUCUACUACCCCAAGAACCGUUCUCGUUACACAUUGGGUGUGAAGAAGGUUGUUAAUCAGGUCUUCGUUCUAUUCUCCUUCCUCGAACUCCUACGGUAGAGCUUCUUUUCUUCCGCCGGAUAUCUGUUACGAGGUAAAAUACCAGGGCGCCGCUGUUGUUCAGUCUCGCUCGUUGAACUAAGUGUCAAGGACAAACUAAGACCACAGGAGUCACUUGGACCUUACUUACCCUACCUCUUAAAUCGCGUCUUGUAAGUCCUCGAACCCGUCCCGUUUUGUCUGCUCCUCUUCUUCCUACUUCGAUUACCCGUCAACCUAUAGUUGUUGCUAAAGACCCGUCUCGAUAAAAGACUACUAAAACCUCUGCCUCUGCCCAGACCCGACAGUCUCAACCUCCCUUCCUCUGGACUUCUAUAGCUGCUUGACCGUGUCGUCAACCCCAUAGACUCAAGAUGAUCGGGCGUCAUCUCAAAACAAGUGUCACCAAGUGAAGUUGGUUGUUUGUAACGAAGAAGUCAUGAUGAUAACGUCUAGUAGAACUUGUUGGACUAAAUCAACUAACCACCGUUGUACUGACCGAUAGACUCCACAAGGUAUGGCCUCUAACCUGGCACAACUACCGUGGAGACCCAUCUCUCAUCUUCGACUUCUGAUUAACGACGCAGCGAACUACCUCUGGGUACUGCACAUAACUUACCCAUGGAUUUGAGCGUUGAGACUUCUUCUACCAGGUCUAGCAGCUGUAAGCCAACCAGAACUCGACCACAAGUCGUCGUCAUCGACACCUUCACACAAUGACAUAUAUGAGCAACCCACUUCAAAACAACACCUUCAGACCAGACAUCAGUCGGCAACCGUAGACCCACACCCAAAUGGGUAAAGAGGACGACGACAGGUAAACGGUUAAAUGGAAUGAAAAUCCCGGACACAGGACACACUACUAACCAUCACAUACGACCUUGGAGACAAUAUAACUCUAUUAUUUACAACUAUUGGAAACGUUCCAUGAGGGAGGUAAACCUUAAUGAACAGAACUUUUAUCUACAUAGAUCUUGAUUUUAUGCAGAUCUAUGUAGGUAAAGACGCUGUUCAUUAAGGCUUGCCUCCCUCAUAACCGAUCACAAGAAUAAUAACUUGAGCUUCGAUUCGUGUUAGUGGGAAAUCCGUUACACGUGACUAUCCGUCAAAAAAUAGUUAGUACAAAUUCAACUACCUACAUCGGUACGAUUGUGUACUAGACGAUCGGCGAAGUGUGCUCCUUUUGAACCUGUACGGUUGUAUGUAAGUUGGGACUUG
RNAcentral lists this ribosomal RNA (2504 nucleotides) under Triticum aestivum (bread wheat). RNAcentral describes it as "partial small subunit ribosomal RNA". Lineage: Eukaryota; Viridiplantae; Streptophyta; Magnoliopsida; Poales; Poaceae. The record is from RNAcentral.